Heterocephalus glaber (naked mole-rat) is the source of this 936-nucleotide long non-coding RNA. RefSeq lists it as uncharacterized. Lineage: Eukaryota; Metazoa; Chordata; Mammalia; Rodentia; Bathyergidae. The record is from RefSeq and is a predicted model, not a curated record.
AUGAGCGAUGGAUAUUUUAUCCUAGUAACAAAAGCAACUGUGACACCUUCCCUGGCCAAAAUGUACUCAUCUGUUGGGUGUCAGAAUGAAUACGUCUUCUUCCCCCGGGUCACAUGAGAUGCUCCCGUGAUCCCUCUGUGAUGUCACAGGACCUCUGCACUUGGAACCUGCCUUUCUACUUAUCUAUUCCCCCAGUUGGGUCACAAGCCUAGUACAACUCUGUAGGUCCUCCACAUGCUGAUUCUCUCUCCUGAAGAUCCCUCACUUUCAGCCUUUCCAGUGAGGGGCUGGAGGCAAAAUAUGCAAGGACUGAAUGAAUUAAUCAAUUAAUUGCACGUUCAUAUCGUCUUUCACAGACGGGAAAUGAAGACUCGGAGGAGCUGAGUGCCUGAGCCCCUCUAGACACUUCAGCAAAGAUGUUUUCUCGCCCUGGAGCAGCAUCCCUGGAACGCAGAGAGCUGGAGGCCCUUAGACCUUGACACACUGAGGUUUUCAGUGCCAUGAACUUGGAGAGGGGCCCCUGGGACCCCAGAUGCAGCUACUGAGGCUCCCUUUGAACUGUGCACCUUAAAAAGGUGAGUCCUAGGUGGGCAUGCUGCCAUAACUGGGGCCAAAGUGCUGGAGAAUUCUCCAGCUGCCAUCUGACAUCAAGUCCCCUCCAUUCUUAGAGGGGCAGCCCAAGGUCCCACCAUGCAGGCACAAUGAAUACACAGCACCUUACCUUCAAAAAGGGACAGUCCUCAAGGCCUCUCCGGUGUGGAAGCAAAUCCAGUCCUUCAAACACAACGCAAACAAAUGACUUUGGCUCGUCUCAGUGGUGAUAACUAUGUUUGGGGAUAAUGCUUUUGUAAGUUUCCCAGGUAUGCAGCACAAUUCUUCCAUUUGCCUGGCUUUUCCCUAAUAGUACAACCUAAUUAAAUAUGAUUAGUUUCCAAA